UCUAAUAUGGCAGAUUAGUGCAUUAGAUUUAAACUCUAAAUAUAAAAUUUAUAAAUUUUUAUUAGAA
This 67-nucleotide transfer RNA is filed under the name Phylloecus linearis. RNAcentral describes it as "tRNA-Leu". It matches the Rfam family "tRNA". From Rfam's summary of the family: Transfer RNA (tRNA) molecules are approximately 80 nucleotides in length. Lineage: Eukaryota; Metazoa; Arthropoda; Insecta; Hymenoptera; Cephidae. The record is from RNAcentral.